AAGGUGGGGAUGACGUCAAGUCCUCAUGGCCCUUACAGGCUGGGCUACACACGUGCUACAAUGGUAACUACAGAGGGCAGCGACUUAGCGAUAAGUAGCCAAUCCCAAAAAGUUAUCUCAGUUCGGAUUGCACUCUGCAACUCGAGUGCAUGAAGUUGGAAUCGCUAGUAAUCGUGGAUCAGCAUGCCACGGUGAAUACGUUCCCGGGCCUUG
RNAcentral lists this ribosomal RNA (213 nucleotides) under Paramoeba aestuarina. Its description in RNAcentral is "partial Bacterial small subunit ribosomal RNA". It matches the Rfam family "Bacterial small subunit ribosomal RNA", at positions 1170 to 1383 of the family's 1533-position model. The record is from RNAcentral. Lineage: Eukaryota; Discosea; Flabellinia; Dactylopodida; Paramoebidae.